UGCAGUCGAGCGGUAGCACAGAGAGCUUGCUCUCGGGUGACGAGCGGCGGACGGGUGAGUAAUGUCUGGGAAACUGCCUGAUGGAGGGGGAUAACUACUGGAAACGGUAGCUAAUACCGCAUAACGUCGCAAGACCAAAGUGGGGGACCUUCGGGCCUCAUGCCAUCAGAUGUGCCCAGAUGGGAUUAGCUAGUAGGUGGGGUAAUGGCUCACCUAGGCGACGAUCCCUAGCUGGUCUGAGAGGAUGACCAGCCACACUGGAACUGAGACACGGUCCAGACUCCUACGGGAGGCAGCAGUGGGGAAUAUUGCACAAUGGGCGCAAGCCUGAUGCAGCCAUGCCGCGUGUAUGAAGAAGGCCUUCGGGUUGUAAAGUACUUUCAGCGAGGAGGAAGGCAUUAAGGUUAAUAACCUUGGUGAUUGACGUUACUCGCAGAAGAAGCACCGGCUAACUCCGUGCCAGCAGCCGCGGUAAUACGGAGGGUGCAAGCGUUAAUCGGAAUUACUGGGCGUAAAGCGCACGCAGGCGGUCUGUCAAGUCGGAUGUGAAAUCCCCGGGCUCAACCUGGGAACUGCAUUCGAAACUGGCAGGCUAGAGUCUUGUAGAGGGGGGUAGAAUUCCAGGUGUAGCGGUGAAAUGCGUAGAGAUCUGGAGGAAUACCGGUGGCGAAGGCGGCCCCCUGGACAAAGACUGACGCUCAGGUGCGAAAGCGUGGGGAGCAAACAGGAUUAGAUACCCUGGUAGUCCACGCCGUAAACGAUGUCGACUUGGAGGUUGUGCCCUUGAGGCGUGGCUUCCGGAGCUAACGCGUUAAGUCGACCGCCUGGGGAGUACGGCCGCAAGGUUAAAACUCAAAUGAAUUGACGGGGGCCCGCACAAGCGGUGGAGCAUGUGGUUUAAUUCGAUGCAACGCGAAGAACCUUACCUACUCUUGACAUCCAGAGAACUUAGCAGAGAUGCUUUGGUGCCUUCGGGAACUCUGAGACAGGUGCUGCAUGGCUGUCGUCAGCUCGUGUUGUGAAAUGUUGGGUUAAGUCCCGCAACGAGCGCAACCCUUAUCCUUUGUUGCCAGCGGUUCGGCCGGGAACUCAAAGGAGACUGCCAGUGAUAAACUGGAGGAAGGUGGGGAUGACGUCAAGUCAUCAUGGCCCUUACGAGUAGGGCUACACACGUGCUACAAUGGCAUAUACAAAGAGAAGCGACCUCGCGAGAGCAAGCGGACCUCAUAAAGUAUGUCGUAGUCCGGAUUGGAGUCUGCAACUCGACUCCAUGAAGUCGGAAUCGCUAGUAAUCGUAGAUCAGAAUGCUACGGUGAAUACGUUCCCGGGCCUUGUACACACCGCCCGUCACACCAUGGGAGUGGGUUGCAAAAGAAGUAGGUAGCUUAACCUUCGGGAGGGCGC
Molecule: ribosomal RNA, 1404 nt
Filed under: Klebsiella sp.
Lineage: Bacteria; Pseudomonadati; Pseudomonadota; Gammaproteobacteria; Enterobacterales; Enterobacteriaceae
Description: bacterial SSU rRNA
Rfam family: Bacterial small subunit ribosomal RNA
Source: RNAcentral